RNAcentral lists this ribosomal RNA (1438 nucleotides) under Lactiplantibacillus plantarum. RNAcentral describes it as "bacterial SSU rRNA". It matches the Rfam family "Bacterial small subunit ribosomal RNA". The record is from RNAcentral. Lineage: Bacteria; Bacillati; Bacillota; Bacilli; Lactobacillales; Lactobacillaceae.
CAGUCGAACGAACUCUGGUAUUGAUUGGUGCUUGCAUCAUGAUUUACAUUUGAGUGAGUGGCGAACUGGUGAGUAACACGUGGGAAACCUGCCCAGAAGCGGGGGAUAACACCUGGAAACAGAUGCUAAUACCGCAUAACAACUUGGACCGCAUGGUCCGAGCUUGAAAGAUGGCUUCGGCUAUCACUUUUGGAUGGUCCCGCGGCGUAUUAGCUAGAUGGUGGGGUAACGGCUCACCAUGGCAAUGAUACGUAGCCGACCUGAGAGGGUAAUCGGCCACAUUGGGACUGAGACACGGCCCAAACUCCUACGGGAGGCAGCAGUAGGGAAUCUUCCACAAUGGACGAAAGUCUGAUGGAGCAACGCCGCGUGAGUGAAGAAGGGUUUCGGCUCGUAAAACUCUGUUGUUAAAGAAGAACAUAUCUGAGAGUAACUGUUCAGGUAUUGACGGUAUUUAACCAGAAAGCCACGGCUAACUACGUGCCAGCAGCCGCGGUAAUACGUAGGUGGCAAGCGUUGUCCGGAUUUAUUGGGCGUAAAGCGAGCGCAGGCGGUUUUUUAAGUCUGAUGUGAAAGCCUUCGGCUCAACCGAAGAAGUGCAUCGGAAACUGGGAAACUUGAGUGCAGAAGAGGACAGUGGAACUCCAUGUGUAGCGGUGAAAUGCGUAGAUAUAUGGAAGAACACCAGUGGCGAAGGCGGCUGUCUGGUCUGUAACUGACGCUGAGGCUCGAAAGUAUGGGUAGCAAACAGGAUUAGAUACCCUGGUAGUCCAUACCGUAAACGAUGAAUGCUAAGUGUUGGAGGGUUUCCGCCCUUCAGUGCUGCAGCUAACGCAUUAAGCAUUCCGCCUGGGGAGUACGGCCGCAAGGCUGAAACUCAAAGGAAUUGACGGGGGCCCGCACAAGCGGUGGAGCAUGUGGUUUAAUUCGAAGCUACGCGAAGAACCUUACCAGGUCUUGACAUACUAUGCAAAUCUAAGAGAUUAGACGUUCCCUUCGGGGACAUGGAUACAGGUGGUGCAUGGUUGUCGUCAGCUCGUGUCGUGAGAUGUUGGGUUAAGUCCCGCAACGAGCGCAACCCUUAUUAUCAGUUGCCAGCAUUAAGUUGGGCACUCUGGUGAGACUGCCGGUGACAAACCGGAGGAAGGUGGGGAUGACGUCAAAUCAUCAUGCCCCUUAUGACCUGGGCUACACACGUGCUACAAUGGAUGGUACAACGAGUUGCGAACUCGCGAGAGUAAGCUAAUCUCUUAAAGCCAUUCUCAGUUCGGAUUGUAGGCUGCAACUCGCCUACAUGAAGUCGGAAUCGCUAGUAAUCGCGGAUCAGCAUGCCGCGGUGAAUACGUUCCCGGGCCUUGUACACACCGCCCGUCACACCAUGAGAGUUUGUAACACCCAAAGUCGGUGGGGUAACCUUUUAGGAACCAGCCGCCUAAGG